RNAcentral lists this ribosomal RNA (462 nucleotides) under uncultured bacterium. RNAcentral's name for it is "SSU rRNA". It matches the Rfam family "Bacterial small subunit ribosomal RNA", at positions 26 to 518 of the family's 1533-position model. The record is from RNAcentral.
AGGACGAACGCUGGCGGCGUGCUUAACACAUGCAAGUCGAACGAGGUGCUUCGGCACUUAGUGGCGAACGGGUGAGUAACACGUGAGCAACCUGCCCUUGGCUCUGGGAUAGCCUCCGGAAACGGGGAUUAAUACCGGACAUGACCUGCUCCUGCAUGGGGGCGGGUGGAAAGUUUUUCGGCCAGGGAGGGGCUCGCGGCCUAUCAGCUUGUUGGGGGGUAACGGCCCACCAAGGCGACGACGGGUAGCCGGCCUGAGAGGGCGACCGGCCACACUGGGGACUGAGACACGGCCCAGACUCCUACGGGAGGCAGCAGUGGGGAAUAUUGCACAAUGGGGGAAACCCUGAUGCAGCGACGCCGCGUGCGGGAUGAAGGCCUUCGGGUUGUAAACCGCUUUCAGCAGGGCGAAUUCAGACGGUACCUGCAGAGAAGCGCCGGCUAACUACGCGCCAGCAGCCGC